Molecule: long non-coding RNA, 1877 nt
Filed under: Macaca mulatta (Rhesus monkey)
Lineage: Eukaryota; Metazoa; Chordata; Mammalia; Primates; Cercopithecidae
Description: lncRNA (ENSMMUG00000049903.1)
Source: RNAcentral
UUUUUUUUUUUUUUUGUCCACUGAGGGGUGGGGGAAGUUGAGGGCAUCAGAUAUUUGAGAAGGUGGAGAAAAUAUAAAAGAGUCGAUACAAAUAAUCAAAACUAGUAGCUAGAAUGAAUACUAGCUAGGCAGAGCUGAGGGUCCAGUUAAGAUAGGUGGCCAUGAAUUCAAAUCUACAUCUAUCUGCUCAGCUGUGUGAUUUUCUUCAGCAGCAUUAAAGCUCUUGUUUGUUUGAUGGUUGUGGAUUUGGUAAAAUACUGAUCUUUCCCCUAUAUUGAGAGAAAUGUGAGUAAUCACAAAGAGGCCUGAUAAUAAUUAUGAGUAAUUUAUCAAGGCCCUUCCAGGGUUCCUCUGCAUAGGGUGGUUUUGGAUGGCUAGACAUUUACAUAGCACAUAGUGGCUUUCUUUUGUUUCCCAUCUUCCUGGUGAAUUGAGCCACAAUUUCUUCUCCUAAGCAUAAAUACCUGCAGACCUUAGUUACAGUCAUCCCUGUGAACAAGGGUGAGGGUGGAAAGGGUAAGGAAUGUCUGUGUUUCCUAUCACCAGGUAAAUGGGAUCUUGAUGCUUGGCAUGGGGUCCCAAGAGCUUGCCAAUACCCAUGUGUAUUAUCAAAAAAUGAGAUAAUGCCGCCGUCAAAGAAAAGAUCACGGCCGGGUGUAGUGGCUCAUACCUUUGUAUUUUAAUCACAUACAGGAUACAUACUCGUACUCAGAAUGUGAGUUCAAGGAUCAGUGGCACAAAUAGGGGAAAUGACCUCAAGUUCCAAAUGAGUGUUAAUGUAGUUCUAUUAAAGCGUCUGAGUGCGGAGAAAUCAUUUCUUGAAUUUUGCAGGGCAAGCAUGACUGCUUUGACUCCUUUUCGUGUGCCUCACAGCGUGCUUAUAAGCCACGUCUCCAGGGACAUACACUCAUUGUAAAGUGCCCCUAAUGAUAAUAAAGUGAAGGAUCUGCUGCAACUCAAAGGAAAUUGAAAGUGCUUUAAGUUCUACAUUCCAAAGUCAGAGCUAGAGAGGCAGGCUGGAUUUUCUGCUGAUGUGGAUUGCCUGCUGUUGGUUUGGGCCACGCUAGGUAUGAGGUAAUGUUUUAGAUUACUGCUGGGUUCUUCUGGGCCUGGCAACAUAAAGAACACGUCUAAUCAAUGCAUCAGCUGCUAUGGCUCAUUCACCUUCCUGCAGUGUUGUGUGGCCACAGCCUGUAAGAAUGUGACCCGGAAAUCCCCAAGUAGGGCCCUCGGGUGUGCCCGAGUCCCUCAUGCCCACCCAUCCACCCCUCUGCAUUCUAACAUUUCAGUGGUUGUGUUCAGGCAAAGUGUCUUCUGCUCAUGCUCAGGAGGAAGAGUUCACUUGACCUCCCUGUGGCUCAUUGCCCCUGAGGAUACCAGGGCUCUCUCAGCCUGGCUGCGUGACAACAGAGGGACACCAUUAUCAGAGAAACCACGGCUGAUGAGCAGCUCUAGGCCAGAGACGCCAAAUGCUACCUGGACAUGAAGAGAGAGGUCCCAGCAGACCCCCGGGGGACAGGUUUAAAUUAGGUUCCAGCCUCCCCUUCCUGGUGUCAGGAGUUACUCAUCUUGAUUUACUUAUCUUGCAAAGGAGCCAAGGUAUCCUGCUGUAGCUGCCUACUAUUUUCUGUCUCUUCCACAACUCCCAUGUCUCUUUUGGGUUUCUGCUCCACUUCUCAUGGGCUACUUGGAGUAGGAAGUAGGUUUCAAUAAUAAAAAAACUAAAUAAAACAAAAACAUCAUCUGAUUUGCCUCCAGCUCUGCCACAGACUAUUUGACCCUGGAAAAAUCCCUUCCCUUUUCUGACACUCCUCUGUAAAAUAGCCUGGAUCAGUAGCUUUCAUAUUGCAUUCUGUGAAGCUGCCAGGAGCCUGAAG